RNAcentral lists this long non-coding RNA (524 nucleotides) under Chrysolophus pictus (golden pheasant). Its description in RNAcentral is "lncRNA (ENSCPIG00010000053.1)". The record is from RNAcentral. Lineage: Eukaryota; Metazoa; Chordata; Aves; Galliformes; Phasianidae.
AUUGGAGGAGGUGGAGGAGGAGGAGGAGGUGGUUCCGGCUACCAGGGCCAAGGACCCAUCUGCAUUGGAGGUGGAGGAGGAGGAGGAGGAGGAGGAGGAGGUGGUGGAGGAGGUGGGGGUGGUUCUGGUCACCAGGGCCAAGGAUCCAUCUGCAUUAUUGGAGGAGGCUCUGGUGGAGGUGGUUCAUCUAGCUCUGGAGGCAUGUCCAUGCAACAGCAGACCCAGCCUAUCUCCUGGCCACCACAGACUAAACACAAGUAGCAGCUUUAGAAGAGAAUCUUGUAACAAGAAAGCCCAGGAUGCAAACAUUAUCUCAUUUCUUACUCUGGUAAAUGUAAGAAUACUUGCAUGAUUCCUUUCUCCUCCUCGGAAUUUUUCUCUUCAGCUCCCCAGCCAACCAGAACCUCCAGUGGUGUGUAUCAGCAAUUUGCAGCCUCAUGUGAGGUUACACCAUAUGUCUUUUUUCUGCCUCAAUGUUCUAGUGUUUGCACAAGGCAAUAAAACUGCAGCUCUAGAGAACUUCA